AGAGUUUGAUCCUGGCUCAGAACGUACGCUGGCGGCACGCCUAAUACAUGCAAGUCGAACGAAGUAGCAAUACUUAGUGGCAGACGGGUGAGUAACAUGUAGGUAUCUACCCUUUGGUCUGGAAUAACACGAGGAAACUUGUGCUAAUACCGGAUAAGUCUUUACGGAGAAAGCUUUAUGCACCAUUGGAUGAGCCUGCACUUGAUUAGUUUGUUGGUGGGGUAAUGGCCUACCAAGACAAUGAUCAAUAGCUGAUUUGAGAGGAUGAUCAGCCACAUUGGGACUGAGACACGGCCCAAACUCCUACGGGAGGCAGCAGUAGGGAAUCUUGCACAAUGGAGGAAACUCUGAUGCAGCGAUGCCGCGUGAGUGAAGAAGGCCUUUGGGUUGUAAAGCUCUUUCGUCGGGGAAGAAAAUGACUGUACCCGAAUAAGAAGGUCCGGCUAACUUCGUGCCAGCAGCCGCGGUAAUACGAAGGGACCUAGCGUAGUUCGGAAUUACUGGGCUUAAAGAGUUCGUAGGUGGUUAAAAAAGUUGGUGGUGAAAUCCCAGAGCUUAACUCUGGAACUGCCAUCAAAACUUUUUAGCUAGAGUAUGAUAGAGGAAAGCAGAAUUUCUAGUGUAGAGGUGAAAUUCGUAGAUAUUAGAAAGAAUACCGAUUGCGAAGGCAGCUUUCUGGAUCAUUACUGACACUGAGGAACGAAAGCAUGGGUAGCGAAGAGGAUUAGAUACCCUCGUAGUCCAUGCCGUAAACGAUGUGUGUUAGACGUUGGAAAUUUAUUUUCAGUGUCGCAGCGAAAGCGAUAAACACACCGCCUGGGGAGUACGACCGCAAGGUUAAAACUCAAAUGAAUUGACGGGGACCCGCACAAGUAGUGGAGCAUGUGGUUUAAUUCGAAGAUACGCGCAGAACCUUACCAACACUUGACAUGUUCGUCGCGACUCUAAGAGAUUAGAGUUUUCGGUUCGGCCGGACGAAACACAGGUGCUGCAUGGCUGUCGUCAGCUCGUGUCGUGAGAUGUUGGGUUAAGUCCCGCAACGAGCGCAACCCUUACUUUUAGUUGCCAUCAUUUAGUUGGGCACUCUGAAAGAACUGCCGGUGAUAAGCUGGAGGAAGGUGGGGAUGACGUCAAGUCCUCAUGGCCCUUACGUGUUGGGCUACACACGUGCUACAAUGGUAUCUACAACAGGAAGCAAGACGGCAACGUUAAGCAAAUCCCAAAAAGUACCUCAGUUCGGAUUGUACUCUGCAACUCGAGUACAUGAAGCUGGAAUUACUAGUAAUCGUGGAUCAGCGCGCCACGGUGAAUACGUUCCCGGGUCUUGUACACACCGCCCGUCACACCAUGGAAGUUGGUUACACCUUAAGGCAAAGCAUAAAACCUUUGACUACGGUACGAUCAGCGACUGGGGUGAAGUCGUAACAAGGUAACC
RNAcentral lists this ribosomal RNA (1435 nucleotides) under uncultured bacterium. Its description in RNAcentral is "bacterial SSU rRNA". It matches the Rfam family "Bacterial small subunit ribosomal RNA". The record is from RNAcentral.